CACGUAGGAGGCAAACGUUAUCCGGAUUUACUGGGCGUAAAGCGCGUGUAGGUGGUUCUGUAAGUAGGGCGUGAAAGCUCCCGGCUCAACUGGGAGAGGCCGUUCUAAACUGCAGAGCUAGAGGGUGGUAGAGGGAGGUGGAAUUCCAGGUGUAGCGGUGGAAUGCGCAGAUAUCUGGAGGAACACCAGUGGCGAAGGCGGCCUCCUGGACCAUUCCUGACACUCAGACGCGAAAGCUAGGGUAGCAAACGGGAUUAGAUACCCCGUACGUCCUCGAG
Molecule: ribosomal RNA, 278 nt
Filed under: uncultured prokaryote
Description: partial 16S ribosomal RNA
Rfam family: Bacterial small subunit ribosomal RNA
Source: RNAcentral